Molecule: unclassified non-coding RNA, 303 nt
Filed under: Cereibacter ovatus
Lineage: Bacteria; Pseudomonadati; Pseudomonadota; Alphaproteobacteria; Rhodobacterales; Paracoccaceae
Description: Rhodobacter ovatus Long range pseudoknot
Source: RNAcentral
ACCCACGAUUUCGACGUGAAGAUGCGCUCGUUGCUGAAGUUCCUUGAAGAAGGCGACAAGGUGAAGGUCACGCUGCGCUUCCGUGGCCGCGAGAUGGCGCACCAGGAACUGGGGCUGGAGCUUCUGAACCGCGUGGCCGCGCAGGUGGCCGAAGCCGAAGCCGGCAAGGUCGAGUCGAUGCCGAAGCUGGAAGGCCGGCAGAUGGUGAUGAUGAUCGGCCCGAAAUAGGCCCGGCAUUCACGCCCGUCAGAUCACAUGGGGGAGCCUGCGGCUCCCCUUUUGUUUGCCGCGACGCCCGUGCCA